UUUUUUUAUUCUCUGCUUCAUUUCUUCUUCUUCUAUUCUUCUCUUCUUCUUUUCUUCUUCUUCUUUUCUUCUUCUCCUUCUUAUUUUUUUCUUCUCUUCUUCUUCUUCUUCUCCUCCUCCUCUUCCUCCUCCUUUUCUCCUCUUCUCCUCCUCCUCCUCUUCUUCUUGCUCUUCUUUCUAUUAAGCUAACUAACUAACUAACCUAACUAACCAAGCU
This 217-nucleotide long non-coding RNA is filed under the name Hordeum vulgare. RNAcentral's name for it is "long non-coding RNA (HVUL_LNC011878)". The record is from RNAcentral. Lineage: Eukaryota; Viridiplantae; Streptophyta; Magnoliopsida; Poales; Poaceae.